Chelonia mydas (Green sea turtle) is the source of this 3538-nucleotide long non-coding RNA. RefSeq lists it as uncharacterized. The transcript has 2 exons. Lineage: Eukaryota; Metazoa; Chordata; Testudines; Cheloniidae. The record is from RefSeq and is a predicted model, not a curated record.
GAGAGAGUGAACUGCAUGUGACAAACGUUGGUCACAUCACUUAAUGUUCUGCUGGAGGACGCUCACAUUAUGGUGAUGAGGGAAGCUUAAAAACCUGUAUAACCCAAACAGAAGCCUGAUCUCUCUCCUUUUCACAGGAGUGGGGCUUCCCAGCCCCUCAGCAAGCUCUCCAUUACUAUUGAACCCAUUCCUUUUGUGCUUUUGAAGGGGCCUCCAGGUAGGGUCAGACUUCCCUGUCUACCCCUUUUCCCCUUUCAGGUGUGUGGCUGUGCUCACCAGGUGCUCUACCUUCCUCUCUCGCUGUCAGGUGACGUCUGUGGGGUAAUGCUGACCUGGACCAUAUUUCUUCUGAGCGGAAAUAUGGACCAUGCAACAUCGAGGUUGAUUGCAGGAGUGCUGUUCUUUAUUUUCAUUCUGCUCAAACGUGAAGAAGAGCUCUGUGAGAUGCAUAUCUCUUUGGAGGUGUAACACGUUUCCUCGGUCUGAUUGAGCUUUUACUCUAGAGCUCUGCCCUGUUACUCCACUCUGCCCACUUGAGUUAGUUCCCACCAUCCUGGAAAAUAGAUGGAGCCUCUCUAACUGGUCAAAGCCCAUUUGUGCAGCGCUUGAUUAUUCGAAGUUCAACCAGUGAAGGGUUACAACUAAAUCUAAAGCGUUUUCUUCCUCAAGUAGAGGAAGUGGACAAAGAAGAUGUUAAAGAAGCAGAAGCUCCAAGAUAGCCUGCCAGUGUAUUAUACUGCAAAUUCUCCUAGCAUUUUCUAUUCAAGAAUCCCCAGGAGUAUUUAAAAAUAUGUUUUCCUAUUAGUUUGUUUGUUUACUCUCAGAAAUUGGUGGGGUAGCCCUGAUCUCAUCUUUUUUUAAAAAGUUAAUAAAUGUCAUGUUUGAGAUUUCAUUUUUAAUUCCUGCAGUAUCAAAGGUACCUUUAGACUUUGAGCCACUUUGUUUCCUCCGUGUGCAGGUGAAAGCUUUCAUCAAGUUCAGUUUGUUACACAUUGUAUUGUAAUUUAACCAAAACUUACUUUAUUAUAAAUUCCCAUCAUUAUUGUAUAACCUUCCAGGGCAAUAGUCUCAUAAUUAUGCAUGCUUAAUUCUUCAUUAGUACUAUUGGGAAUGAUGAGCCCAGUCCUUCAAGGUGCUGAGUAUGUUCUAUUCCAGUUGAAACCAAUGGGAAUAGAGUACUUGGCACUUUGCAGGAUUGGGUCCUGUGUAAGCUUUAAUGCACGAUAGUUGAAAUAGUUCAUUUUGUGGGAGAUGGAUGUAGGUUUACUAGACAGAAAUGGGUCACAUUCUACUUUCUGUAACACCAGUAUAAAAGUGGAAUAACUCCACUGCAGCCAGUUGGUGUUACUCCUGAAAUUUGCUGGAAAUAUCAUUCUGCUCUGCACACGGGGGGAGGGGAUUGCAAGGAGGUAUAAGAUUUUUUUUGUACUUCUGCGAUACAUGGGCCUUUGAAUGAAGGAUAGCCCCUGGGAUAAGAGGUACUUAUCUUUCGUUAAGAUGAAGACAUUCUGUUAAAGGAAGAGAGAGAGAAAGAUCAUGUGGAUAUGCAUAAAUAUCCUGUUUGUUCAGUUCUAAAACGGUUAACGACUGGAGCUUGGGUUCUAGGACUCUGCGAGGUGGCAGGAUACCAGAUCUGUAGCCUGAGCUGAACAUCUACACUGCAGUUAGACAGCCCCUUAGCCUGAGGCCUGUGAGCCUACGUUAACUGGCAUGGGCCAGCUGCAGGUGUCUAAUUGCAGUGACUAAUGUCUAAUAGACAUACCCUGAGAAGGCUUCCCCCCCCUCCCUUGUCUUCCAUCUGACACUAUAGAAGACACCCCCCCACCCCCCACCUGCAUGGGGGGCUGGGCACAGUGAAGCCUGUGGUGGAGUGCUGUUCCUGAGGUCAUCUGUUUGCUUGCAGGGAUUUCCUUGCAUAAGAAUGACAAUAGGUAGCAUUCUUACAUAGAUUUCCCAUGCAGACUCUGUAACAGCCCUGGGGUUGUAGGACAUGUGUGAGUAGGGAAUGAGUAGUAUCUGGGAGCUGUAUUGCUAUGGGCAUAGUGAUGGGCCAGACCUGCAUAUGUGCACUGCAGUUUGUAGAAUUUACCUGACUACUUCAGGACAUCUCUGCAUCUGGCGGCCCAGAGCCCCCUGACAGAACAAUGUAAAGGAAACUCAGUGACUUUCCUGUCUCUUCUGCAUGCUUUACCUGCGUGACCCUUCAAUUCUUGGCCAACAAAAAUGAUUAUUAGAGUUGGCUGAAAGAUGUUUAAUUGAGAGAUGGCUUUUUUAUGUGAAAAAUAUGUAAAAAGAAAUUGAUCUGCUAAAAGUAAAUGAAAAAUUUAUAGUUUUUGAUUGAUUACAAAAACUCAAAAAUUGGGACUGGUUUCAAACCCCUUAAACUGCAAACAACUUUGGAAUUUUUUGCAGAAUUAGUGUUUAACUUUUUUGACCAGCUGUAGAGUUAUGCAAUCAGUUGAAUCAAUAACACUGAAAGCUUUUGGCACCAACUAGCAGUUACUAUUAAUCAUUGUAAUUCAAAAAUUGACCAUUAUAUUUACCUCAGAGUUGAUGUGAUUAAUAUGGUACAUGUGGGCUGUAAUUAAAUGUCUUUUUUUCUCCCCAACAUACUGCUUGAGUAAAAGCUUUGAUUCUGUAGCAUAAAAACAUGAAAUUUUAAGUAGUUGACGGAAAAUAAUUUUACUCCACUUUACUGUGUAUAAAAACAAACAAAAACCGCUCUGCCAAAGCAUUAUCAACUCACUGAUCAUAACCAGCAGGUGGCAUUCAUCUUCUGUGCAGAACAGUUCAACUUAAUUUGUCAUUCUGUGUUUUCUCAAGUCGUCAAAGCACAGAUCAAGAAAAUUGAGACCAAGAACUUUACAUGAUUCAGAGUGGAAACUGGAUAUUUAUAUGAAUAUCCAGAAAUCUAGAGUUUUCAAUGACAAAAAUAUUAAACCUUGUGGUCCAGGGUCUAAAACAAUCUCUCAAUACUAGCGAUCAGGAUGAGGCCUAAUGUAGGAGGCAGAUAAUCCCUCAUCCUUCUUCUGAAGUAUCUAACUACUGUCAGAGACAGGAUGCUGGUCCAUGUGGACCUUGUCACCUGAUCCAUUGGCCCCCUCAAAUCAAAGGGAGUCCUUCUAUUGACUCUCUUUCAGGCAGGAGGUGAAUAAAUACUGUCUUGGUUUGGAGCUAAAAUCCAGUGCGACUUUAUUGCACGAUACUUUUUCCCUCAAGUAAUCUUUUUUGCCACCAAAAAUUUUACCAAGAUAUGAAUAUUAAGACCUGGGUUAAUUUGAUGUUCAUGAAAGUGAGUGGCUGACAUUACUAGCAAAAAUAGUGUCCAAUUAUGUGAUGUGUUUGAAGAUGUAGACUCAUCUGCUAGGCUGAAACAUCCAACUUGCUUUAAAUGUUGACUAAAUUAGGAGUUGGACCAAAUUCCAGAGAGUUGACAAGCUAAUCCACUGUAUCACCUGUCCUUAUAGAAAUGGCUGUAUUCUAGUUUAAAGUAGUGGAAAUAUAGAUAUUAAUUAAAACAAUCUGUAAAUAUCAUAGA